CCUACGGGAGGCAGCAGUGGGGAAUUUUGGACAAUGGGGGAAACCCUGAUCCAGCAAUGCCGCGUGUGUGAAGAAGGCCUUCGGGUUGUAAAGCACUUUUGUCCGGAAAGAAAACCUUUGCACUAAUACUGUGAGGGGAUGACGGUACCGGAAGAAUAAGCACCGGCUAACUACGUGCCAGCAGCCGCGGUAAUACGUAGGGUGCGAGCGUUAAUCGGAAUUACUGGGCGUAAAGCGUGCGCAGGCGGUUCGUUAAGACAGAUGUGAAAUCCCCGGGCUUAACCUGGGAACUGCAUUUGUGACUGGCGAGCUAGAGUAUGGCAGAGGGGGGUAGAAUUCCGCGUGUAGCAGUGAAAUGCGUAGAGAUGUGGAGGAAUACCGAUGGCGAAGGCAGCCCCCUGGGCCAAUACUGACGCUCAUGCACGAAAGCGUGGGGAGCAAACAGGAUUAGAUACCCUGGUAGUCCACGCCCUAAACGAUGUCAACUAGUUGUUGGGUCUUCAUUGACUUAGUAACGUAGCUAACGCGUGAAGUUGACCGCCGUGGGGAAGUACGGUCGCAAGUAUUAAAACGUUAAAGGAAUUGACCGGNUGAGACGUGCCGACGGACGACGACGAGGGAGGUAGG
This 627-nucleotide ribosomal RNA is filed under the name uncultured bacterium. RNAcentral describes it as "bacterial SSU rRNA". It matches the Rfam family "Bacterial small subunit ribosomal RNA", at positions 338 to 961 of the family's 1533-position model. The record is from RNAcentral.